This 232-nucleotide ribosomal RNA is filed under the name Funneliformis mosseae. Its description in RNAcentral is "partial large subunit ribosomal RNA". Lineage: Eukaryota; Fungi; Glomeromycota; Glomeromycetes; Glomerales; Glomeraceae. The record is from RNAcentral.
AAGAUGAAAAGAACUUUGAAAAGAGAGUUAACCAUUACGUGAAAUUGUUGAAAGGGAAACGAUUGAAGUCAGUCAUACCAACGGGAAAUCAACCUUUUGAGCUCGGUCUCGUGGGUUUUGAAGAGUUUCAAAGCCUUCGGAUUCGCGGGAUUGGGAUCUCUUGGCGUACUUUUUCGUACGGUUAGUCAACAUCGGUUUUGAAUGUCAUAAAAUGACUGGAGGAAUGUAGCUU